CCUACGGGUGGCAGCAGUGAGGAAUAUUGGUCAAUGGUCGGAAGUCUGAACCAGCCAAGCCGCGUGCGGGAAGACGGCUCUGUGAAUUGUAAACUGCUUUUGUACAAGGGUAAACCUGAAUACGUGUAUUCAGCUGAGAGUACUGUACGAAUAAGGAUCGGCUAACUCCGUGCCAGCAGCCGCGGUAAUACGGAGGAUCCAAGCGUUAUCCGGAUUUAUUGGGUUUAAAGGGUGCGUAGGCGGAUUGGUAAGUUAGAGGUGAAAUGUCCGGGCUUAACUCGGGAACUGCCUCUAAUACUGGCGAUCUAGAGAUUAGAUGCGGUAGGCGGAAUGUAUGGUGUAGCGGUGAAAUGCUUAGAGAUCAUACAGAACACCGAUUGCGAAGGCAGCUUACCAAUUCAUAUCUGACGUUGAGGCACGAAAGCGUGGGGAGCAAACAGGAUUAGAUACCCGGGUAGUC
Molecule: ribosomal RNA, 460 nt
Filed under: uncultured bacterium
Lineage: Bacteria
Description: partial 16S ribosomal RNA
Rfam family: Bacterial small subunit ribosomal RNA
Source: RNAcentral